RNAcentral lists this ribosomal RNA (396 nucleotides) under uncultured bacterium. RNAcentral describes it as "partial 16S ribosomal RNA". It matches the Rfam family "Bacterial small subunit ribosomal RNA", at positions 523 to 918 of the family's 1533-position model. The record is from RNAcentral.
AUACGUAGGGAGCGAGCGUUGUCCGGAAUUACUGGGUGUAAAGGGAGCGUAGGCGGGAGUGCAAGUCAGAUGUGAAAUACAUGGGCUCAACCCAUGGGCUGCAUUUGAAACUGCAUUUCUUGAGUGAAGUAGAGGUAAGCGGAAUUCCUGGUGUAGCGGUGAAAUGCGUAGAUAUCAGGAGGAACACCGGUGGCGAAGGCGGCUUACUGGGCUUUUACUGACGCUGAGGCUCGAAAGCGUGGAGAGCAAACAGGAUUAGAUACCCUGGUAGUCCACGCUGUAAACGAUGAUUACUAGGUGUGGGGGGACUGACCCCUUCCGUGCCGCAGUUAACACAAUAAGUAAUCCACCUGGGGAGUACGGCCGCAAGGUUGAAACUCAAAUGAAUUGACGGGG